RNAcentral lists this ribosomal RNA (781 nucleotides) under uncultured Neocallimastigales. RNAcentral describes it as "partial large subunit ribosomal RNA". It matches the Rfam family "Eukaryotic large subunit ribosomal RNA", at positions 23 to 633 of the family's 3401-position model. Lineage: Eukaryota; Fungi; Neocallimastigomycota; Neocallimastigomycetes; Neocallimastigales. The record is from RNAcentral.
AGAGAGAGACAUGCGCGCAUAUCAAUAAGCGGAGGAAAAGAAACUAACAAGGAUUCCCUUAGUAACGGCGAGUGAAGCGGGAAGAGCUCAAAUUUGAAAUCUUCAAGGUUUUACCUUGACGAAUUGUAGUUUAAAGAAGGUGUUUUCGGUUAGAGGAGUUUAGUAAAAGUUCUUUGGAAUAGGACAUCAUAGAGGGUGAGAAUCCCGUAUUUGACCUAUUAUUUCCUAGCUUUGUGAUACACUUUCAAAGAGUCGGAUUGUUUGGGAAUGCAGUCCAAAAUGGGUGGUAAAUUUCAUCUAAAGCUAAAUAUUGGCGAGAGACCGAUAGCGAACAAGUACCGUGAGGGAAAGAUGAGAAGAACUUUGAGAAGAGAGUUAAACAGUACGUGAAAUUGUCAAAAGGGAAGCGUUUGACACCAGUGUUGUUUUCUCGAAAAUCAAUUAAAAAUGGCAGGAUUUUGUGUUGUAUUGACUUUAUCAGCUUUCUGCACUUUUUUCUUGUCUUUUUUAAUGCACUUUUCGUUUAACAAGUCAACAUCAAUUUCUUUUGUUGUAAAAGGGUCAUUGGAAGGUGGCUUUCUUUUCGGAGAAAGUGUUUAUAGCCUUUGGCCUCUGCAAUCGGAGAGAUUGAGGUCUGCAGCGUAGAUCCUUCGGGGUUAGAUACAUUUGUGCUAAGUUAUAGCCUUUCAUAGACAACUUGUUGACUAUGAUCAGUCAUGUAGCUUACUCGCAGUAUAGUCAUUUUACCUACGCUUAGGAUGUUGACAGCAGUAUAGACUGU